RNAcentral lists this ribosomal RNA (301 nucleotides) under uncultured bacterium. RNAcentral describes it as "partial 16S ribosomal RNA". It matches the Rfam family "Bacterial small subunit ribosomal RNA", at positions 509 to 809 of the family's 1533-position model. The record is from RNAcentral.
CAGCAGCCGCGGGAAUACGUAGGUGGCAAGCGUUGUCCGGAAUUAUUGGGCGUAAAGGGCUCGCAGGCGGUUUCUUAAGUCUGAUGUGAAAGCCCCCGGCUCAACCGGGGAGGGUCAUUGGAAACUGGGGAACUUGAGUGCAGAAGAGGAGAGUGGAAUUCCACGUGUAGCGGUGAAAUGCGUAGAGAUGUGGAGGAACACCAGUGGCGAAGGCGACUCUCUGGUCUGUAACUGACGCUGAGGAGCGAAAGCGUGGGGAGCGAACAGGAUUAGAUACCCCCGUAGUCCCUGUCUCUUAUAA